Molecule: ribosomal RNA, 301 nt
Filed under: uncultured bacterium
Lineage: Bacteria
Description: partial 16S ribosomal RNA
Rfam family: Bacterial small subunit ribosomal RNA
Source: RNAcentral
CAGCAGCCGCGGUAAUACGGAGGGUGCAAGCGUUAAUCGGAAUUACUGGGCGUAAAGCGCACGCAGGCGGUUUGUUAAGUCAGAUGUGAAAUCCCCGAGCUUAACUUGGGAACUGCAUUUGAAACUGGCAAGCUAGAGUCUUGUAGAGGGGGGUAGAAUUCCAGGUGUAGCGGUGAAAUGCGUAGAGAUCUGGAGGAAUACCGGUGGCGAAGGCGGCCCCCUGGACAAAGACUGACGCUCAGGUGCGAAAGCGUGGGGAGCAAACAGGAUUAGAUACCCGCGUAGUCCCUGUCUCUUAUAU